GGACUUCAACCACAUUCACAUAUUACUUAGACGAAGGACUAUAACCAUGUAUACACUCAUUAAGCAAGGGACUCUAACCACAUACACAUCUAUUUAAGCAAAGAAAAUUUAACCCCACACACACAUUUAUUUAGGCAAGGGACUAUAACUACAUGCCCAUACAUUAGGCAAGGGACUCUAACCUAAUGCCACAUUAGAUAGGGGAAUCUAACCCAAGCCAUUUCAUUUGGAAAAGCACUUAAACCUCAAG
RNAcentral lists this long non-coding RNA (250 nucleotides) under Capsicum annuum. RNAcentral describes it as "long non-coding RNA (CANN_LNC008175)". The record is from RNAcentral. Lineage: Eukaryota; Viridiplantae; Streptophyta; Magnoliopsida; Solanales; Solanaceae.